This 455-nucleotide ribosomal RNA is filed under the name uncultured Rhodoferax sp. RNAcentral describes it as "bacterial SSU rRNA". It matches the Rfam family "Bacterial small subunit ribosomal RNA", at positions 925 to 1382 of the family's 1533-position model. Lineage: Bacteria; Pseudomonadati; Pseudomonadota; Betaproteobacteria; Burkholderiales; Comamonadaceae. The record is from RNAcentral.
ACAAGCGGUGGAUGAUGCGGUUUAAUUCGAUGCAACGCGAAAACCUUACCACCUUUGACAUGUACGGAAGUUGCCAGAGAUGGCUUCGUGCUCGAAAGAGAGCCGUAACACAGGUGCUGCAUGGCUGUCGUCAGCUCGUGUCGUGAGAUGUUGGGUUAAGUCCCGCAACGAGCGCAACCCUUGUCAUUAGUUGCUACAUUCAGUUGGGCACUCUAAUGAGACUGCCGGUGACAAGCCGGAGGAAGGUGGGGAUGACGUCAAGUCCUCAUGGCCCUUAUAGGUGGGGCUACACACGUCAUACAAUGGCUGGUACAAAGGGUUGCCAACCCGCGAGGGGGAGCCAAUCCCAUAAAGCCAGUCGUAGUCCGGAUCGUAGUCUGCAACUCGACUACGUGAAGUCGGAAUCGCUAGUAGUCGUGGAUCAGAAUGUCACGGUGAAUACGUUCCCGGGUCUU